RNAcentral lists this non-coding RNA (27 nucleotides) under Rattus norvegicus (Norway rat). The record is from RNAcentral. Lineage: Eukaryota; Metazoa; Chordata; Mammalia; Rodentia; Muridae.
UGCACUGGAACGAUGGUGAUGGAUGAU